RNAcentral lists this transfer RNA (72 nucleotides) under Actinomycetota bacterium. RNAcentral's name for it is "tRNA-OTHER". Lineage: Bacteria; Bacillati; Actinomycetota. The record is from RNAcentral.
GGUGAACUUAGGUGAACGGGUGGAAUCUCCCUUACAAGGAGAGGGCCGCUGGUUCGACUCCAGCAUCGCCCA